RNAcentral lists this unclassified non-coding RNA (321 nucleotides) under Hevea brasiliensis (rubber tree). Lineage: Eukaryota; Viridiplantae; Streptophyta; Magnoliopsida; Malpighiales; Euphorbiaceae. The record is from RNAcentral.
UUCCGGCCGGCCCACAGAUCGGCUGCUCACAAGCAAAACAAUCACUUGAGAACAAUUCGCAAAUACCGCCAAAUGCCAGCAAGCCCGGUUCUUUCUGGUCCCUCAACCCGCAGAUGCGAUCCCGCGCGCUGGCCGUUUCAUGAUCUCCAUCAAACGCCACAUAGUCCUGAUGAAAGGCGCAGUCGCGGGACUUGCGCUGGGAGCGACGUCGCUGGGCUGGGGCGGCCGACGCCGCCCUGCCCCUGAAAGCGCCGCGCGCUGCGCCGGUUUUUGACUGGAGCGGGCUUUAUGUCGGCGGUCACGCGGGCUAUGGCGGCGGCA